RNAcentral lists this transfer RNA (83 nucleotides) under Candidatus Woesearchaeota archaeon. RNAcentral describes it as "tRNA-Ser". It matches the Rfam family "tRNA". Rfam says of the family: Transfer RNA (tRNA) molecules are approximately 80 nucleotides in length. Their secondary structure includes four short double-helical elements and three loops (D, anti-codon, and T loops). Further hydrogen bonds mediate the characteristic L-shaped molecular structure. tRNAs have two regions of fundamental functional importance: the anti-codon, which is responsible for specific mRNA codon recognition, and the 3' end, to which the tRNAs corresponding amino acid is attached (by aminoacyl-tRNA synthetases). tRNAs cope with the degeneracy of the genetic code in two manners: having more than one tRNA (with a specific anti-codon) for a particular amino acid; and 'wobble' base-pairing, i.e. permitting non-standard base-pairing at the 3rd anti-codon position. The record is from RNAcentral. Lineage: Archaea; Nanobdellati; Candidatus Woesearchaeota.
GCCACGGUCGCUUAGUCUGGUAUAGCGCUGGCUUGCUAAGCCAGUCCCAUCAGGGAUCGUCGGUUCAAAUCCGGCCCGUGGCG